UACGAAGGGGGCUAGCGUUGCUCGGAAUCACUGGGCGUAAAGGGUGCGUAGGCGGGUCUUUAAGUCAGGGGUGAAAUCCCGGAGCUCAACUCCAGAACUGCCUUUGAUACUGAGGAUCUUGAGUUCGGGAGAGGUGAGUGGAACUGCGAGUGUAGAGGUGAAAUUCGUAGAUAUUCGCAAGAACACCAGUGGCGAAGGCGGCUCACUGGCCCGGUACUGACGCUGAGGUGCGAAAGCGUGGGGAGCAAACAGG
This 253-nucleotide ribosomal RNA is filed under the name uncultured bacterium. RNAcentral's name for it is "partial 16S ribosomal RNA". It matches the Rfam family "Bacterial small subunit ribosomal RNA", at positions 524 to 776 of the family's 1533-position model. The record is from RNAcentral.